Molecule: long non-coding RNA, 211 nt
Organism: Helicoverpa armigera (cotton bollworm)
Lineage: Eukaryota; Metazoa; Arthropoda; Insecta; Lepidoptera; Noctuidae
Exons: 4
Source: RefSeq, a predicted model, not a curated record
UUAGCCAUUAUUCCGUUAAGCAAAGCGAACUACGAUGCUCAAUUGGCCUUCAAAGUGAAAGAAUUGGACAUGGCUCGUAUGAAUGAUAUUGAAGAUACUCCGGCGAGCGAAGCUGCUGAAACGACAGUAACCACGCCUGGCACGUCUACACUUUCCACCAGAUGUACUACGGAAAAACCUUUGCCAAAAUUAAGUGCAAAUUUCUUCCCAA